UUCGUAGGUGGCGAGCGUUAUCCGGAAUUAUUGGGCGUAAAGAGCGCGCAGGUGGUUGAUUAAGUCUGAUGUGAAAGCCCACGGCUUAACCGUGGAGGGUCAUUGGAAACUGGUCGACUUGAGUGCAGAAGAGGGAAGUGGAAUUCCAUGUGUAGCGGUGAAAUGCGUAGAGAUAUGGAGGAACACCAGUGGCGAAGGCGGCUUCCUGGUCUGUAACUGACACUGAGGCGCGAAAGCGUGGGGAGCAAACAGGAUUAGAUA
This 261-nucleotide ribosomal RNA is filed under the name uncultured prokaryote. Its description in RNAcentral is "partial 16S ribosomal RNA". It matches the Rfam family "Bacterial small subunit ribosomal RNA", at positions 524 to 784 of the family's 1533-position model. The record is from RNAcentral.